This 903-nucleotide ribosomal RNA is filed under the name uncultured bacterium. Its description in RNAcentral is "bacterial SSU rRNA". It matches the Rfam family "Bacterial small subunit ribosomal RNA", at positions 8 to 916 of the family's 1533-position model. The record is from RNAcentral.
AGAGUUUGAUCAUGGCUCAGGAUGAACGCUAGCGACAGGCCUAACACAUGCAAGUCGAGCGGGAUCCACCUUCGGGUGGUGAGAGCGGCGCACGGGUGAGUAACGCGUAUGUAACCUGCCUGCAACAGGGGGAUAGCUCCCGGAAACGGGAAUUAACACCGCAUAAGACCACGGGUUCGCAUGGAUUCGGGGUAAAAUAUUCAUAGGUUGCAGAUGGGCAUGCGUGACAUUAGGUAGUUGGUAGGGUAACGGCCUACCAAGCCGACGAUGUCUAGGGGUUCUGAGAGGAAGGUCCCCCACACUGGUACUGAGACACGGACCAGACUCCUACGGGAGGCAGCAGUGAGGAAUAUUGGUCAAUGGACGCAAGUCUUAACCAGCCAUGUCGCGUGCAGGAAGACGGCCCUAUGGGUUGUAAACUGCUUUUGUACAGGAAGAAAGUUAGCUACGAGUAGCUAUUUGCCGGUACCGUACGAAUAAGGAUCGGCUAACUCCGUGCCAGCAGCCGCGGUAAUACGGAGGAUCCGAGCGUUAUCCGGAUUUAUUGGGUUUAAAGGGUGCGUAGGCGGACUGUUAAGUCAGUGGUGAAAGUUUGACGCUCAACGUUAAAAUUGCCAUUGAUACUGAUAGUCUUGAGUCCAGUUGAGGUAGGCGGAAUGUGGUGUGUAGCGGUGAAAUGCAUAGAUAUACCACAGAACACCGAUUGCGAAGGCAGCUUACUAAGCUGAAACUGACGCUGAUGCACGAAAGUGUGGGGAUCAAACAGGAUUAGAUACCCUGAUAGUCCACACUGUAAACGAUGAUCACUCGUUGUUUGCGAUAUACAGCAAGUGACCAAGCGAAAGCGAUAAGUGAUCCACCUGGGGAGUACGGCGGCACGCUGAAACUCAAAGGAAUUGACGG